GACGAACGCUGGCGGCGUGCUUAACACAUGCAAGUCGAACGGUAAGGCCCUUCGGGGUACACGAGUGGCGAACGGGUGAGUAACACGUGGGUGAUCUGCCCUGCACUUCGGGAUAAGCCUGGGAAACUGGGUCUAAUACCGGAUAGGACUCCGGACUGCAUGGUCUGGGGUGGAAAGCUUUUGCGGUGUGGGAUGGGCCCGCGGCCUAUCAGCUUGUUGGUGGGGUGAUGGCCUACCAAGGCGACGACGGGUAGCCGGCCUGAGAGGGUGACCGGCCACACUGGGACUGAGAUACGGCCCAGACUCCUACGGGAGGCAGCAGUGGGGAAUAUUGCACAAUGGGCGCAAGCCUGGGGCAGCGACGCCGCGUGAGGGAUGACGGCCUUCGGGUUGUAAACCUCUUUCAGCACAGACGAAGCGCAAGUGACGGUAUGUGCAGAAGAAGGACCGGCCAACUACGUGCCAGCAGCCGCCGUAA
This 478-nucleotide ribosomal RNA is filed under the name uncultured bacterium. RNAcentral's name for it is "partial 16S ribosomal RNA". It matches the Rfam family "Bacterial small subunit ribosomal RNA", at positions 28 to 523 of the family's 1533-position model. The record is from RNAcentral.